GGAUGUGAGGGCGAUCUAGCUGUGACAUCUGUCACCCCACUGAUCACCAGGAUUGAUUUGGCUGAUCUGGCUGGCUAGGCGGGGUGUCCCCUUCCUCCCUUACCAUUCCAAGUGCAUCCCUCCCGAAGCUGCGUGCUCAGUCAAAGAGGACAACCUUCCCCGAUAGAGGAGAGGACUGUUUUUCGGUCAAGGAUAUAUGAGUAGCUGCGCCCCACUGCUAGCUCUCAAGACCUAAGAGAGGCCACCCAGAGUAUUUCCUGAAAUUGGAUAGGG
This 273-nucleotide small nuclear RNA is filed under the name Pteropus alecto (black flying fox). Its description in RNAcentral is "7SK RNA". It matches the Rfam family "7SK RNA", at positions 1 to 256 of the family's 331-position model. Rfam says of the family: 7SK was discovered as an abundant small nuclear RNA in the mid-70s but a possible function has only recently been suggested. Two independent studies have found that 7SK RNA binds the CDK9/cyclin T complex (known as elongation factor P-TEFb). Lineage: Eukaryota; Metazoa; Chordata; Mammalia; Chiroptera; Pteropodidae. The record is from Rfam by way of RNAcentral.